This is a small nucleolar RNA of Marchantia polymorpha subsp. polymorpha, 95 nucleotides long. It matches the Rfam family "Small nucleolar RNA Z157/R69/R10". From Rfam's summary of the family: Z157, R69 and R10 are members of the C/D class of snoRNA which contain the C (UGAUGA) and D (CUGA) box motifs. Most of the members of the box C/D family function in directing site-specific 2'-O-methylation of substrate RNAs. The record is from Rfam. NCBI's taxonomy places the organism in Eukaryota, Viridiplantae, Streptophyta, Marchantiopsida, Marchantiales, Marchantiaceae.
UACAAUGCAGUGAUGAAAAACAAGUGUUUCGGACUAGAGUUUCUGAUCUGGUUCGCCAGGCUGACGAGAAACCUCUUGGCUGGCUGAGCAUUAUU